This 472-nucleotide ribosomal RNA is filed under the name uncultured bacterium. Its description in RNAcentral is "bacterial SSU rRNA". It matches the Rfam family "Bacterial small subunit ribosomal RNA", at positions 328 to 793 of the family's 1533-position model. The record is from RNAcentral.
UUGCCAGACUCCUACGGGAGGCAGCAGUGGGGAAUAUUGCGCAAUGGGCGAAAGCCUGACGCAGCGACGCCGCGUGAGGGAUGAAGGUCUUCGGAUCGUAAACCUCUGUCAGCAGGGAAGAACGGUCACUGUGCUAAUCAGCAGUGAAUUGACGGUACCUGCAAAGGAAGCACCGGCUAACUCCGUGCCAGCAGCCGCGGUAAUACGGAGGAUGCGAGCGUUAUCCGGAUUUAUUGAGUUUAAAGGGUGCGCAGGCGGAGGUGCAAGUCAGUGGUCAAAUUGCGGGGCUCAACCCCGUACUGCCGUUGAAACUGCAUCCCUUGAGUGCGCGAGAAGUAUGCGGAAUGCGUGGUGUAGCGGUGAAAUGCAUAGAUAUCACGCAGAACUCCGAUUGCGAAGGCAGCAUACCGGCGCUCAACUGACGCUCAUGCACGAAAGCGUGGGUAUCGAACAGGAUUAGAUACCCCUGUAC